GGCGGCGGGUGAAUAACACGUAAGAAUUUGCCUUUAGGAGGGGGACAACAACUGGAAACGGUUGCUAAUACCCCAUAUGCUUUCGAGUGAAAUGGAUUUCCGCCUAAAGAGAAGCUUGCGGCUGAUUAGCUUGUUGGUGAGGUAAUGGCUCACCAAGGCGACGAUCAGUAUCUGGUUUGAGAGGACGAUCAGACACACUGGGACUGAGACACGGUCCAGACUCCUACGGGAGGCAGCAGUGGGGAAUUUUCCGCAAUGGGCGAAAGCCUGACGGAGCAAUACCGCGUGAGGGAUGACGGCCUAUGGGUUGUAAACCUCUUUUUUCAGGGAGGAAUCAAUGACGUGUACCUGAAGAAUAAGCAUCGGCUAACUCCGUGCCAGCAGCCGCGGUAAGACGGAGGAUGCAAGUGUUAUCCGGAAUCACUGGGCGUAAAGCGUCUGUAGGUGGUCAAAUAAGUCAACUGUUAAAUCUUGAGGCUCAACCUCAAAAUCGCAGUCGAAACUAUUAGACUAGAGUAUAGUAGGGGUAAAGGGAAUUUCCAGUGGAGCGGUGAAAUGCGUAGAGAUUGGAAGGAACACCGAUGGCGAAGGCACUUUACUGGGCUAUUACUAACACUCAGAGACGAAAGCUAGGGUAGCAAAUGGGAUUAGAUACCCCAGUAGUCCUAGCUGUAAACAAUGGAUACUAGAUGUUGAACAGAUCGACCUGUGCAGUAUCAAAGCUAACGCGUUAAGUA
This 737-nucleotide ribosomal RNA is filed under the name uncultured bacterium. RNAcentral describes it as "bacterial SSU rRNA". It matches the Rfam family "Bacterial small subunit ribosomal RNA", at positions 97 to 866 of the family's 1533-position model. The record is from RNAcentral.